Molecule: ribosomal RNA, 301 nt
Filed under: uncultured bacterium
Lineage: Bacteria
Description: partial 16S ribosomal RNA
Rfam family: Bacterial small subunit ribosomal RNA
Source: RNAcentral
CAGUCGCCGCGGUAAUACAGAGGGUGCAAGCGUUAAUCGGAAUUACUGGGCGUAAAGCGCGCGUAGGUGGUUUGUUAAGUUGGAUGUGAAAUCCCCGGGCUCAACCUGGGAACUGCAUCCAUAACUGCCUGACUAGAGUACGGUAGAGGGUGGUGGAAUUUCCUGUGUAGCGGUGAAAUGCGUAGAUAUAGGAAGGAACACCAGUGGCGAAGGCGACCACCUGGACUGAUACUGACACUGAGGUGCGAAAGCGUGGGGAGCAAACAGGAUUAGAUACCCCCGUAGUCCCUGUCUCUUAUAC